GACGAACGCUGGCGGCGUGCUUAAUACAUGCAAGUCGAGCGAGGUUACUGUUUUGGAUCCCUUCGGGGUGAAGAAGCUUUAACCUAGCGGCGGACGGGUGAGUAACGCGUGGGUAACCUACCCCAAAGUCCGGGAUAACAGCGGGAAACCGCUGCUAAUACCGGAUGCCUUUACCUUGGGGCAUCUUGAGGUAAAGAAAGGUAACGCUUUGGGAUGGGCCCGCGUCCCAUUAGCUAGUUGGUGAGGUAACGGCUCACCAAGGCGACGAUGGGUAGCCGGCCUGAGAGGGUGGACGGCCACACUGGGACUGAGACACGGCCCAGACUCCUACGGGGGGCAGCAGUAGGGAAUUUUCGGCAAUGGGCGAAAGCCUGACCGAGCGACGCCGCGUGAGGGACGAAGGCCUUCGGGUUGUAACCUCUGUCUGGGGGAUGAGAACGGACGGUACCCCGGAGGAAGCCCGGCUAACUACGUG
RNAcentral lists this ribosomal RNA (475 nucleotides) under uncultured bacterium. RNAcentral's name for it is "bacterial SSU rRNA". It matches the Rfam family "Bacterial small subunit ribosomal RNA", at positions 28 to 507 of the family's 1533-position model. The record is from RNAcentral.